AAGUCUUGGUUUUUUUUUUCUUAAAUCUUAGAAGUCACAUGUCACAAACGUAGUUGUUAUGAUCUGUGUCAUUCUGUGAUGUUUGAAGUUAUGUUUUUUUUUGUGGCGAAAAUUUAGAUGUGAAUGGUUCUUCAGAAUGUAGACAAUUCUACAGUUACACUUAAGAGAUGAAGAUGAGGUAAAAUGGACGCACCGGAUUAUAAUGUACUUUCUUGGGAAUUCAAGGAUUGAAUCAUUCAUAACAAGUAGUACAUCUACCACACAAAAACCCAUUGUACCUGAUGACACAAAGUAUGUUGUAGUUCCUCUGGUUGUGAUAGUUCUGGUAAUGAUUCUUUCUAUUUUGGUUUAUCUAAUGGCUAGAAGGAGAAGGAUAAAUAAAUUGAGAAAAAACAUACUUAGUCUAUAUGAGUUUGAUUCAAAUGAACAUGAAUGGGAAUCAUUGGCAAGUAAUGAGUAUUCAUAUUACACAAAUGAUAUUGAAACAUCAUUGUAGCAUAAACAAUUUGAUAGAAGUGUUGUGCAACUAGUAAUAUUUUUUGCUGGUUUUAGUUUUCCAAAUACUUUAAAAAUGUUAAUGUUAUUGGUGCUAAUUGACAUUGUUAAUAAUCAAAUGAAUAUAAUUUCAAUUAAAGGUA
Long non-coding RNA from Leptinotarsa decemlineata (Colorado potato beetle), 638 nucleotides. NCBI's taxonomy places the organism in Eukaryota, Metazoa, Arthropoda, Insecta, Coleoptera, Chrysomelidae. The record is from RefSeq and is a predicted model, not a curated record.